UCUGUUUUCUUGCCCUUAGGGAAUCACGUUUACUCCAGACUCGGAGCACUCAAGAUCUACGACGAUUUUCAUGUGCUAUUUAGGUUACGAUGAUUUUCGGAAACGCUACUUGUUUAGCAUGAGGGCGGUGGCUGGCUGAAAAGCAAAAAAAGGACAUAACGUAGUCAAAUCGUGCAGAAUGUCUACAUUUUUAAAUUAUUGUUAGAAGCCAAUAAAACAUGGGCAAGUAUAAUGUUGCUUUUAAAGUAAGUACUUAAAAAUUAGAAUGUCAUUUUAUAGAGUUAAUUCAUCUCACCUGU
Long non-coding RNA from Triplophysa rosa, 299 nucleotides. RefSeq lists it as uncharacterized. The record is from RefSeq and is a predicted model, not a curated record. Lineage: Eukaryota; Metazoa; Chordata; Actinopteri; Cypriniformes; Nemacheilidae. The transcript has 3 exons.